UACGGAGGAUGCGAGCGUUAUCCGGAUUUAUUGGGUUUAAAGGGUGCGUAGGCGGCUUUUCAAGUCAGGGGUGAAAUCCCACGGCCCAACCGUGGAACUGCCUUUGAAACUGUAGAGCUUGAGUGUCGGAGAGGGUGGCGGAAUUCCAGGUGUAGGAGUGAAAUCCGUAGAUAUCUGGAGGAACACCGGUGGCGAAGGCGGCCACCUGGACGACAACUGACGCUGAGGUGCGAAAGCGUGGGUAGCAAACAGG
This 253-nucleotide ribosomal RNA is filed under the name uncultured bacterium. Its description in RNAcentral is "partial 16S ribosomal RNA". It matches the Rfam family "Bacterial small subunit ribosomal RNA", at positions 524 to 776 of the family's 1533-position model. The record is from RNAcentral.